GCGAACGGGUGAGUAAUGCAUCGGAACGUACCGAGUAGUGGGGGAUAACUGUCCGAAAGGAUGGCUAAUACCGCAUACGCUUUGAGAAGGAAAGCAGGGGCUCUUCGGACCUUGCGCUAUUCGAGCGGCCGAUGUCUGAUUAGCUGGUUGGUGGGGUAAAGGCCUACCAAGGCGACGAUCAGUAGCGGGUCUGAGAGGAUGAUCCGCCACACUGGGACUGAGACACGGCCCAGACUCCUACGGGAGGCAGCAGUGGGGAAUUUUGGACAAUGGGCGCAAGCCUGAUCCAGCCAUGCCGCGUGUCUGAAGAAGGCCUUCGGGUUGUAAAGGACUUUUGUCAGGGAAGAAAAGGUUGUGGUUAAUACCCAUGACUGAUGACGGUACCUGAAGAAUAAGCACCGGCUAACUACGUGCCAGCAGCCGCGGUAAUACGUAGGGUGCGAGCGUUAAUCGGAAUUACUGGGCGUAAAGCGGGCGCAGACGGUUACUUAAGUCAGAUGUGAAAUCCCCGGGCUCAACCU
Molecule: ribosomal RNA, 521 nt
Filed under: Neisseria zoodegmatis
Lineage: Bacteria; Pseudomonadati; Pseudomonadota; Betaproteobacteria; Neisseriales; Neisseriaceae
Description: bacterial SSU rRNA
Rfam family: Bacterial small subunit ribosomal RNA
Source: RNAcentral